GACGAACGCUGGCGGCGUGCUUAACACAUGCAAGUCGAACGGAAAGGCCUCUUUCGGGGGGUACUCGAGUGGCGAACGGGUGAGUAACACGUGAGUAACCUGCCCUUGACUUUGGGAUAACUUCGGGAAACUGGGGCUAAUACCGGAUAGGAGCUCCUGCUGCAUGGUGGGGGUUGGAAAGUUUCGGCGGUUGGGGAUGGACUCGCGGCGUAUCAGCUUGUUGGUGGGGUAGUGGCUUACCAAGGCUUUGACGGGUAGCCGGCCUGAGAGGGUGACCGGCCACAUUGGGACUGAGAGACGGCCCAGACUCCUACGGGAGGCAGCAGUGGGGAAUAUUGCACAAUGGGUGGAAGCCUGAUGCAGCAACGCCGUGUGCGGGAUGACGGCCUUCGGGUUGUAAACCGCUUUCGCUCAUGACGAAGCUUUGUGUGACGGUAGUGGGUAAAGAAGCACCGGCUAACUACGUG
Molecule: ribosomal RNA, 467 nt
Filed under: uncultured bacterium
Lineage: Bacteria
Description: partial 16S ribosomal RNA
Rfam family: Bacterial small subunit ribosomal RNA
Source: RNAcentral